ACGGAGGAUCCGAGCGUUAUCCGGAUUUAUUGGGUUUAAAGGGUGCGCAGGCGGGAUGUUAAGUCGGCGGUGAAAUUUUGCAGCUCAACUGUAAAAGUGCCUUCGAUACUGGCUUUCUUGAGUGUGGAUGAAGUAGGCGGAAUUUGUGGUGUAGCGGUGAAAUGCGUAGAGAUCUCGAGGAACUCCGAUGGCGCAGGCAGCCUCCUGGACCACUACUGACGCUCAUGCGCGAAAGCGUGGGGAGCAAACAG
Molecule: ribosomal RNA, 251 nt
Filed under: uncultured prokaryote
Description: partial 16S rRNA
Rfam family: Bacterial small subunit ribosomal RNA
Source: RNAcentral